This 75-nucleotide transfer RNA is filed under the name bacterium. RNAcentral describes it as "tRNA-Glu". It matches the Rfam family "tRNA". From Rfam's summary of the family: Transfer RNA (tRNA) molecules are approximately 80 nucleotides in length. The record is from RNAcentral.
GGAGCAUUCGUCUAUCGGUUAGGACAGUGGGUUUUCAGUCCACUAAGAGCGGUUCGACUCCGCUAUGCUCUACCA